AGCGAACGCUGGCGGCAGGCUUAACACAUGCAAGUCGAGCGGGCACUUUCGGGUGUCAGCGGCGGACGGGUGAGUAACGCGUGGGAACGUGCCCUCUGGUUCGGAAUAACUCAGGGAAACUUGAGCUAAUACCGGAUACGCCCUUUUGGGGAAAGGCUUGCUGCCGGAGGAUCGGCCCGCGUCUGAUUAGCUAGUUGGUGAGGUAACGGCUCACCAAGGCGACGAUCAGUAGCUGGUCUGAGAGGAUGAUCAGCCACACUGGGACUGAGACACGGCCCAGACUCCUACGGGAGGCAGCAGUGGGGAAUAUUGGACAAUGGGCGCAAGCCUGAUCCAGCCAUGCCGCGUGAGUGAUGAAGGCCUUAGGGUUGUAAAGCUCUUUUAUCCGGGACGAUAAUGACGGUACCGGAGGAAUAAGCCCCGGCUAACUACGUG
Molecule: ribosomal RNA, 435 nt
Filed under: uncultured bacterium
Lineage: Bacteria
Description: partial 16S ribosomal RNA
Rfam family: Bacterial small subunit ribosomal RNA
Source: RNAcentral